RNAcentral lists this ribosomal RNA (909 nucleotides) under Frigoribacterium sp. S2U38. RNAcentral describes it as "bacterial SSU rRNA". It matches the Rfam family "Bacterial small subunit ribosomal RNA", at positions 528 to 1436 of the family's 1533-position model. The record is from RNAcentral. Lineage: Bacteria; Bacillati; Actinomycetota; Actinomycetes; Micrococcales; Microbacteriaceae.
UAGGGUGCAAGCGUUAUCCGGAAUUAUUGGGCGUAAAGAGCUCGUAGGCGGUCUGUCGCGUCUGCUGUGAAAACUGGGGGCUCAACCCCCAGCCUGCAGUGGGUACGGGCAGACUAGAGUGCGGUAGGGGAGAUUGGAACUCCUGGUGUAGCGGUGGAAUGCGCAGAUAUCAGGAAGAACACCGAUGGCGAAGGCAGAUCUCUGGGCCGUAACUGACGCUGAGGAGCGAAAGCAUGGGGAGCGAACAGGAUUAGAUACCCUGGUAGUCCAUGCCGUAAACGUUGGGAACUAGAUGUAGGGUCCAUUCCACGGAUUCUGUGUCGCAGCUAACGCAUUAAGUUCCCCGCCUGGGGAGUACGGCCGCAAGGCUAAAACUCAAAGGAAUUGACGGGGGCCCGCACAAGCGGCGGAGCAUGCGGAUUAAUUCGAUGCAACGCGAAGAACCUUACCAAGGCUUGACAUAUAGAGGAAAAGGCUGGAAACAGUCUCCCCGCAAGGUCUCUAUACAGGUGGUGCAUGGUUGUCGUCAGCUCGUGUCGUGAGAUGUUGGGUUAAGUCCCGCAACGAGCGCAACCCUCGUUCUAUGUUGCCAGCACGUAAUGGUGGGAACUCAUAGGAGACUGCCGGGGUCAACUCGGAGGAAGGUGGGGAUGACGUCAAAUCAUCAUGCCCCUUAUGUCUUGGGCUUCACGCAUGCUACAAUGGCCGGUACAAAGGGCUGCAAUACCGUAAGGUGGAGCGAAUCCCAAAAAGCCGGUCUCAGUUCGGAUUGAGGUCUGCAACUCGACCUCAUGAAGUCGGAGUCGCUAGUAAUCGUGGAUCAGCAACGCCACGGUGAAUACGUUCCCGGGCCUUGUACACACCGCCCGUCAAGUCAUGAAAGUCGGUAACACCCGAAGCCAGUGGCCU